UUAAGCGACUAAGCGUACACGGUGGAUGCCCUGGCAGUCAGAGGCGAUGAAGGGCGUGCUAAUCUGCGAUAAGCGCCGGUAAGGUGAUAUGAACCGUUAUAACCGGCGAUACCCGAAUGGGGAAACCCAGUGUGAUUCGUCACACUAUCAUUAACUGAAUCCAUAGGUUAAUGAGGCGAACCGGGGGAACUGAAACAUCUAAGUACCCCGAGGAAAAGAAAUCAACCGAGAUUCCCCCAGUAGCGGCGAGCGAACGGGGAGGAGCCCAGAGCCUGAAUCAGCAUGUGUGUUAGUGGAAGCGUCUGGAAAGGCGCGCGAUACAGGGUGACAGCCCCGUACACAAAAGCGCAUGUGCUGUGAGCUCGAUGAGUAGGGCGGGACACGUGGUAUCCUGUCUGAAUAUGGGGGGACCAUCCUCCAAGGCUAAAUACUCCUGACUGACCGAUAGUGAACCAGUACCGUGAGGGAAAGGCGAAAAGAACCCCGGCGAGGGGAGUGAAAAAGAACCUGAAACCGUGUACGUACAAGCAGUGGGAGCACCCUUUGGGUGUGACUGCGUACCUUUUGUAUAAUGGGUCAGCGACUUAUAUUCUGUAGCAAGGUUAACCGAAUAGGGGAGCCGGAGGGAAACCGAGUCUUAACCGGGCGUUAAGUUGCAGGGUAUAGACCCGAAACCCGGUGAUCUAGCCAUGGGCAGGUUGAAGGUUGGGUAACACUAACUGGAGGACCGAACCGACUAAUGUUGAAAAAUUAGCGGAUGACCUGUGGCUGGGGGUGAAAGGCCAAUCAAACCGGGAGAUAGCUGGUUCUCCCCGAAAGCUAUUUAGGUAGCGCCUCGUGAAUUCAUCUCCGGGGGUAGAGCACUGUUUCGGCUAGGGGGCCAUCCCGGCUUACCAACCCGAUGCAAACUGCGAAUACCGGAGAAUGUUAUCACGGGAGACACACGGCGGGUGCUAACGUCCGUCGUGAAGAGGGAAACAACCCAGACCGCCAGCUAAGGUCCCAAAGUCAUGGUUAAGUGGGAAACGAUGUGGGAAGGCCCAGACAGCCAGGAUGUUGGCUUAGAAGCAGCCAUCAUUUAAAGAAAGCGUAAUAGCUCACUGGUCGAGUCGGCCUGCGCGGAAGAUGUAACGGGGCUAAACCAUGCACCGAAGCUGCGGCAGCGACACUGUGUGUUGUUGGGUAGGGGAGCGUUCUGUAAGCCUGUGAAGGUGUGUCGUGAGGCAUGCUGGAGGUAUCAGAAGUGCGAAUGCUGACAUAAGUAACGAUAAAGCGGGUGAAAAGCCCGCUCGCCGGAAGACCAAGGGUUCCUGUCCAACGUUAAUCGGGGCAGGGUGAGUCGACCCCUAAGGCGAGGCCGAAAGGCGUAGUCGAUGGGAAACGGGUUAAUAUUCCCGUACUUGGUGUUACUGCGAAGGGGGGACGGAGAAGGCUAUGUUGGCCGGGCGACGGUUGUCCCGGUUUAAGCGUGUAGGUGUGUGUUCCAGGUAAAUCCGGUUCACUUUAACACUGAGGCGUGACGACGAGGCACUACGGUGCUGAAGCAACAAAUGCCCUGCUUCCAGGAAAAGCCUCUAAGCAUCAGGUAACAUCAAAUCGUACCCCAAACCGACACAGGUGGUCAGGUAGAGAAUACCAAGGCGCUUGAGAGAACUCGGGUGAAGGAACUAGGCAAAAUGGUGCCGUAACUUCGGGAGAAGGCACGCUGACACGUAGGUGAAGUGAUUUACUCAUGGAGCUGAAGUCAGUCGAAGAUACCAGCUGGCUGCAACUGUUUAUUAAAAACACAGCACUGUGCAAACACGAAAGUGGACGUAUACGGUGUGACGCCUGCCCGGUGCCGGAAGGUUAAUUGAUGGGGUCAGCGCAAGCGAAGCUCCUGAUCGAAGCCCCGGUAAACGGCGGCCGUAACUAUAACGGUCCUAAGGUAGCGAAAUUCCUUGUCGGGUAAGUUCCGACCUGCACGAAUGGCGUAAUGAUGGCCAGGCUGUCUCCACCCGAGACUCAGUGAAAUUGAACUCGCUGUGAAGAUGCAGUGUACCCGCGGCAAGACGGAAAGACCCCGUGAACCUUUACUAUAGCUUGACACUGAACAUUGAGCCUUGAUGUGUAGGAUAGGUGGGAGGCUUUGAAGUGUGGACGCCAGUCUGCAUGGAGCCGACCUUGAAAUACCACCCUUUAAUGUUUGAUGUUCUAACGUGGACCCGUUACCCGGGUUGCGGACAGUGUCUGGUGGGUAGUUUGACUGGGGCGGUCUCCUCCUAAAGAGUAACGGAGGAGCACGAAGGUUGGCUAAUCCUGGUCGGACAUCAGGAGGUUAGUGCAAUGGCAUAAGCCAGCUUGACUGCGAGCGUGACGGCGCGAGCAGGUGCGAAAGCAGGUCAUAGUGAUCCGGUGGUUCUGAAUGGAAGGGCCAUCGCUCAACGGAUAAAAGGUACUCCGGGGAUAACAGGCUGAUACCGCCCAAGAGUUCAUAUCGACGGCGGUGUUUGGCACCUCGAUGUCGGCUCAUCACAUCCUGGGGCUGAAGUAGGUCCCAAGGGUAUGGCUGUUCGCCAUUUAAAGUGGUACGCGAGCUGGGUUUAGAACGUCGUGAGACAGUUCGGUCCCUAUCUGCCGUGGGCGCUGGAGAACUGAGGGGGGCUGCUCCUAGUACGAGAGGACCGGAGUGGACGCAUCACUGGUGUUCGGGUUGUCAUGCCAAUGGCACUGCCCGGUAGCUAAAUGCGGAAGAGAUAAGUGCUGAAAGCAUCUAAGCACGAAACUUGCCCCGGGAUGAGUUCUCCCUGAGACUUAGAGUCUCCUGAAGGAACGUUGAAGACGACGACGUUGAUAGGCCGGGUGUGUAAGCGCAGCGAUGCGUUGAGCUAACCGGUACUAAUGAACCGUGAGGCUUAACCUU
Molecule: ribosomal RNA, 2902 nt
Filed under: Salmonella enterica
Lineage: Bacteria; Pseudomonadati; Pseudomonadota; Gammaproteobacteria; Enterobacterales; Enterobacteriaceae
Description: bacterial LSU rRNA
Rfam family: Bacterial large subunit ribosomal RNA
Source: RNAcentral